UGGGGAAUAUUGGACAAUGGGCGAAAGCCUGAUCCAGCCAUGCCGCGUGUGUGAAGAAGGUCUUCGGAUUGUAAAGCACUUUAAGUUGGGAGGAAGGGCAUUUACCUAAUACGUAAGUGUUUUGACGUUACCGACAGAAUAAGCACCGGCUAACUCUGUGCCAGCAGCCGCGGUAAUACAGAGGGUGCAAGCGUUAAUCGGAAUUACUGGGCGUAAAGCGCGCGUAGGUGGUUUGUUAAGUUGAAUGUGAAAUCCCCGGGCUCAACCUGGGAACUGCAUCCAAAACUGGCAAGCUAGAGUAUGGUAGAGGGUGGUGGAAUUUCCUGUGUAGCGGUGAAAUGCGUAGAUAUAGGAAGGAACACCAGUGGCGAAGGCGACCACCUGGACUGAUACUGACACUGAGGUGCGAAAGCGUGGGGAGCAAACAGG
Molecule: ribosomal RNA, 429 nt
Filed under: uncultured bacterium
Lineage: Bacteria
Description: bacterial SSU rRNA
Rfam family: Bacterial small subunit ribosomal RNA
Source: RNAcentral